GAUUUGGCACGCUGACCAAGUCUUCUGGAACGGAGCGCCAUGGAGGGUGACAGCCCCGUAGCAGCAGCCACUGUAAAUCCGGGUCGACGAGUCGAGUUGUUUGGGAAUGCAGCUCUAAGUGGGUGGUAUGCUCCAUCUAAAGCUAAAUAUUGGCGAGAGACCGAUAGCGAACAAGUACUGUGAAGGAAAGAUGAAAAGAACUUUGAAAAGAGAGUGAAAAAGUACGUGAAAUUGUUGAAAUGGAAGGCAAUGAGGUGCGAUUGAACCGGACGUUUGCGGGCAGGACAAAAGCGCAGGCCGCCUCGGCAUUGCCUGCGUGCAUACUGCCUCGCGGACUACCAGUUCUAACAACGCCUUAUUGCACCCG
RNAcentral lists this ribosomal RNA (367 nucleotides) under Entelexis sorbosivorans. RNAcentral describes it as "Starmerella sorbosivorans partial large subunit ribosomal RNA". It matches the Rfam family "Eukaryotic large subunit ribosomal RNA", at positions 161 to 651 of the family's 3401-position model. The record is from RNAcentral. Lineage: Eukaryota; Fungi; Ascomycota; Dipodascomycetes; Dipodascales; Trichomonascaceae.